CCUACGGGUGGCAGCAGUGAGGAAUAUUGGUCAAUGGACGAGAGUCUGAACCAGCCAAGUAGCGUGAAGGAUGACUGCCCUCUGGGUUGUAAACUUCUUUUAUAUGGGAAUAAAAUGUUCCACGUGUGGGAUUUUGUAUGUACCAUAUGAAUAAGGAUCGGCUAACUCCGUGCCAGCAGCCGCGGUAAUACGGAGGGUCCGAGCGUUAUUCGGAUUUAUUGGGUGUAAAGGGCGCGUAGGUGGAUUGUUAAGUCAGUUGUGAAAAUUUGCGGCUCAACCGUAAAAUUGCAGUUGAAACUGGCAGUCUUGAGUACAGUAGAGGUGGGCGGAAUGCGUGGUGUAGCGGUGAAAUGCUUAGAUAUCACGAAGAACUCCGAUUGCGAAGGCAGUUCACUGGACUGCAACUGACACUGAGGCUCGAAAGUGUGGGUAUCAAACAGGAUUAGAUACCCCUGUAGUC
This 460-nucleotide ribosomal RNA is filed under the name uncultured bacterium. Its description in RNAcentral is "partial 16S ribosomal RNA". It matches the Rfam family "Bacterial small subunit ribosomal RNA", at positions 338 to 795 of the family's 1533-position model. The record is from RNAcentral.